GACGUUUCAUAAUCUUUCUGUUUUUAGGAUGGGAGCUCCCUGCCUCUCCACCGUGCCUGGCAUCUGGAGCCUCUCUAGGUACUGCAUUUUGAUAAAUUGAAGGUUUGUGGAACGCUGCAUUGAGCAAGUCUAUUGGUACCAUUUUCCAACAGCAUGUGCUCACUUCAUGUCUCUGUGCCACAUUUGGAAUGAAGAGAAUCUGAACUAAGAUGGGGUGAAAGUAGGAAAUCAUUCCCCCAUGUCAAGUGCAAGGGCUAUCCAGUUAGAGGCCAACACAGAUGUCUGAUCAAAGCAAUGCUUCUCCAGCUCGAGAGCACAUCAUCACCUGGAGAGCUCAUGAAAACAGAUUGCUGGGCUUCAUCCUCGAGUUUCUGAUUCAGUAGGGCAGGGUGGGGACUAAGAAUAUUCAUUUCUAAUGAGUUCCAGUGGUGCUGAUGUUUCCAGUCCAGGGAUCACCGGUGGAGACCCAUUAGUCUAUGCCAUCCUAGUCCCACCCGCCUGACACCUCAUGCUCACCAGAAGGACACCUUGGGCUGACCAGAGAGGAGGGUUUCUGUGUGAGAAG
RNAcentral lists this long non-coding RNA (565 nucleotides) under Homo sapiens (human). RNAcentral describes it as "novel transcript". Lineage: Eukaryota; Metazoa; Chordata; Mammalia; Primates; Hominidae. The record is from RNAcentral.